CCCUUAGACGUUCUGGGCCGCACGCGCGCUACACUGACACAGGCAACGAGCUUUCCUUUACCGAAAGGUAUGGGUAACCUUUUGAAACUGUGUCGUGCUGGGGAUAGAUCCUUGCAAUUUUUGAUCUUAAACGAGGAAUUCCUAGUAAGCGCGAGUCAUCAACUCGCGUUGAUUACGUCCCUGCCCUUUGUACACACCGCCCGUCGCUACUACCGAUUGAAUGGCUUAGUGAGGCCUCAGGAUCCGCGCUUAAUGUGUGGAGAAUUUGGACAAACUACGUCAUUUAGAGGAAGUAAAAGUCGUAACA
RNAcentral lists this ribosomal RNA (307 nucleotides) under uncultured eukaryote. RNAcentral's name for it is "partial 18S ribosomal RNA". It matches the Rfam family "Eukaryotic small subunit ribosomal RNA", at positions 1470 to 1796 of the family's 1831-position model. The record is from RNAcentral.